GUAGGUGGCAAGCGUUGUCCGGAAUUAUUGGGCGUAAAGCGCGCGCAGGCGGUUCUUUAAGUCUGAUGUGAAAGCCCACGGCUCAACCGUGGAGGGUCAUUGGAAACUGGAGAACUUGAGUACAGAAGAGGAAAGCGGAAUUCCACGUGUAGCGGUGAAAUGCGUAGAGAUGUGGAGGAACACCAGUGGAGAAGGCGGCUUUCUGGUCUGUAACUGACGCUGAGGCGCGAAAGCGUGGGGAGCAAACAGGAUUAGAUACCCUGGUAGUCCACGCCGUAAACGAUGAGUGCUAAGUGUUAGGGGGCUUCCGCCCCUUAGUGCUGCAGCUAACGCAUUAAGCACUCCGCCUGGGAGUACGGCCGCAAGGCUG
RNAcentral lists this ribosomal RNA (370 nucleotides) under uncultured organism. RNAcentral's name for it is "partial 16S ribosomal RNA". It matches the Rfam family "Bacterial small subunit ribosomal RNA", at positions 527 to 896 of the family's 1533-position model. The record is from RNAcentral.